RNAcentral lists this ribosomal RNA (447 nucleotides) under uncultured bacterium. RNAcentral describes it as "bacterial SSU rRNA". It matches the Rfam family "Bacterial small subunit ribosomal RNA", at positions 355 to 825 of the family's 1533-position model. The record is from RNAcentral.
UGGGGAAUUUUGGGCAAUGGGGGAAACCCUGACCCAGCAACGCCGCGUGAAGGAUGAAGUAUUUCGGUAUGUAAACUUCGAAAGAAUAGGAAGAAUAAAUGACGGUACUAUUUAUAAGGUCCGGCUAACUACGUGCCAGCAGCCGCGGUAAUACGUAGGGACCAAGCGUUGUUCGGAUUUACUGGGCGUAAAGGGCGCGUAGGCGGCAUGACAAGUCACUUGUGAAAUCUCUGGGCUUAACUCGGAACGGUCAGAUGAUACUGCUUUGCUAGAGUGCAGAAGGGGCAAUCGGAAUUCUUGGUGUAGCGGUGAAAUGCGUAGAUAUCAAGAGGAACACCUGAGGUGAAGACGGGUUGCUGGGCUGACACUGACGCUGAGGCGCGAAAGCCAGGGGAGCAAACGGGAUUAGAUACCCCAGUAGUCCCUGAGCGGGCUGGCAAGGCGCAU